This 308-nucleotide long non-coding RNA is filed under the name Gossypium barbadense (sea-island cotton). RNAcentral's name for it is "long non-coding RNA (GBAR_LNC004713)". The record is from RNAcentral. Lineage: Eukaryota; Viridiplantae; Streptophyta; Magnoliopsida; Malvales; Malvaceae.
CAAAUAUACAUUAGUAAAAUCUUGAUCUGUGAAAAAAUAAAAAUAAAAAACAAACAGAUUUUUACGUGGAAACCCUUUCGGGAAAAAACCACGGGCAGAGGAGAAGAAAAUUCACUAUGUCGAAUUCAAAUGAUUAUAAGAGGAAUAGACUAUGUCUAUUUAUAGGCUUGUAAAGCCAUAUUCUAGUAAGACUGAAACACUUUAUUCUAAUCAAUAUCAAAUAGAUAGAAUUUAAUAAGGUUUAAAAAACUUUAUUCUAAAAUAAAAUAAAAGAAGUGUAAUUCUAUAUGGAUUCUUCUUUUAUUUUU